This 250-nucleotide long non-coding RNA is filed under the name Lathyrus oleraceus (garden pea). Its description in RNAcentral is "Pisum sativum (pea) long non-coding RNA (PSAT_LNC016302)". Lineage: Eukaryota; Viridiplantae; Streptophyta; Magnoliopsida; Fabales; Fabaceae. The record is from RNAcentral.
UUUGAUCCUCUAUUUUUCUUUUCAUUUUUGAUUUCCCUGAUUUUUUCCUGGACUGAUUCAAGUUAUUAGUCCACCCAGAUGCCCUAAUUUUUGCCUAAGUCACUUGUUUUCAAGUCUUCGACUUAGCGGGCUUUUCUUUUGAUUUUUUUAUUGCAUUUGAAUUUCUCAUCUUUUUUGGAAUAAAUCGUGUGAAAUUUGUUGAAAGGGUCAAGACUGCCUUGUUCCUUUUGUUGGUAAGGGACAACCAUUA